Molecule: long non-coding RNA, 248 nt
Filed under: Phasianus colchicus (ring-necked pheasant)
Lineage: Eukaryota; Metazoa; Chordata; Aves; Galliformes; Phasianidae
Description: lncRNA (ENSPCLG00000003731.1)
Source: RNAcentral
GAGGGAUUAACUGCAGCCCUGCUGGCUCUAGGGAGUGGGGGAAGGAAGAUGCAACUUCCUAGAGGGAAGCAAACAAGUUAUGUAUAAAGAAAACAGGCAAAAUGAGACGAAUGAGAAAGACAAAGAAAACAUAGAUCAAGCACUGAUCGCAGUGACGAGUUUUGCAGUGAUGAGUUUUGCUAUAAUUCUGGAUGUCAAACAAGUAUUGAUGAGAGAUUCUCUCAAUAAGAGCUGAUCAACACUUUCAU